GACCACUCCAAAGAAGGAAGAGGAAAAAUCUGCACAAAAACUUCCUUUUUACUUCUUAAAAUACAGGAGUCUAGAUUCUAGCAAUGGUUGUGCUCCAUUUUUUUUCUUUCUUCUUUUAAAAUAAUAUUUUUUCUUUUCCUUAUUCUUUUAAACAGCUACACAGAUCAGAAAAUUGCCUGUUUGACCUUUGUGGCAAUUUAUUUUACCAAGGUGUGUGCUCUCCUUUCUAAAAUAAGUGCACUGAUACGAUGUCUGACGUUUUCUCAGAUGAAUGCUUCUAGGAUUUCAAAAGAAGAUUCUUGUUUAAAAAGCACAUAUGGCUGCCCAACCCAAACAGUCAAGGCUGACAGGCGCUGAAGCAUUCAUCAGUAGUCCAGUUUCCUCAUGUCUCCUGCCUCCUGAUUUGUACUUGGAGAAAGAAGAAAGCACAACACAGACAAAGACAAUGAAAUCUGACUACACACCAGUGGGACUGUGCUUAGUUCAAAACUCCAGGCAUGAAGCCCAAAUAGAUUCAGGCUCAGCUUUAUCCUUACACAACAGGGAAGAUGAUAAAAUGCAUUUACUUAGUCUUGCAUCAUGAGAGCCAAAUGAUUCCAAACUGAACUAAUCCUGUUCUAUCCCAGGAGCAGUGUUUUGGUUCUCCGCAAUACACAUGUCAAAAUGGUGAUGUUGUGGCAUGAUACAUUUCCACAACACCCCUUCAAGUGUGAUCAGGCAUGUACUCCAGCACAUAAAUGCUCUGUAUACAUUUGCUUAAAUAAAUAAUUCAUGAAACUACAAAUACCUAUCCCUGAAGCAGCUUCCAACUCUUAAACACUCGAAGCAUGCUCAUCCUCAUUUUAAACAGGAGGAGAUGAAGUGCACGUUGUGAUUCAGAUGGAGGGGCUGCCAAUCCACUGAGACCUAUUUCGAAUUAGUAAGGAGUUUGCUACUGUAUAUCAACACAGCAGGGGGAAUUUUAUUUCAAAGGCAAAAUGCUGAGAUUACGUACUGAUUUCACUGGUCCUCACUGGAAGCAAUCCUGGGACAAGAGCAUGGACUUCCAAACUGCUGCUCAUUUCCUCUGCCUUGUGAAGGGAUCUAAGGACUGACUGAGCUCCCUCCUGCAACACACUGGGCUCCCAAACACAGCUCAUUAAGAGUUCACCUCUACCCAGCAAACCAGGCCUCCUACGUCUAGCAUGCUAUGAGUUGAAGGAUUAAUAAAGCACAGCAUAGAACUCCACA
RNAcentral lists this long non-coding RNA (1230 nucleotides) under Fukomys damarensis (Damara mole-rat). Its description in RNAcentral is "lncRNA (ENSFDAG00000022059.1)". Lineage: Eukaryota; Metazoa; Chordata; Mammalia; Rodentia; Bathyergidae. The record is from RNAcentral.